Oncorhynchus masou masou (cherry salmon) is the source of this 1080-nucleotide long non-coding RNA. RefSeq lists it as uncharacterized. NCBI's taxonomy places the organism in Eukaryota, Metazoa, Chordata, Actinopteri, Salmoniformes, Salmonidae. The record is from RefSeq and is a predicted model, not a curated record. The transcript is spliced from 2 exons.
UUUACUCAGUUAGUUGUGCGGCGAGACCCGGAAACAUUGUUUUAUUAUUUUGUCACAUGGCUGAGAGAUUUCAAUAACAACAAAAAAUGGCGACAAUCACGUUGUUCGAUGUGGGUCUUGCUGCGUCAUUAAAACUAUUCACGUAAACACGGGAAUGAAACGCGCAAAAUGCAAAAAACAGCAACAAGCUUUCCCGACAACGUGGAGUUGAAUAUCUGGAACCAUUGAAAUGUGAUGAUUGCUUUCAAUAUUGUUCUUUCGCGUUUUAAACGUGUAUUUAAUGUAUAAGCUACCUGGUCUGCGCUUCACGAUUAUUGAAGGGUCCGAGAUACGCUAUUAUGAUAAUAUACUAAGUACAGUCUAUUGGGAGUUGUAUAUGCUAAUUGCAUUUUUACAGUUACGCAACCAAUGUUAUGUUUUGUUCGAUUGAACUGUUGUCUCAACCUUGCGUAGCAGGUUAUUUUUCAAGUAGGUGUUGGCAAGUGCUCCUGCAAUUCUGUGAUACCAAAACAGAACCAGCAAAUCGAGUUGUUUACAUGAAGCGGAGGGAGAAGGAGAUAGGGAGGAGCCUCCUCCGGCGGGCUACGCGACUGGACUGCUGGAGAGCCUUCGCGCACUGAGGGCGGAACCCCAAGAACCAUAACAAGUCCGACGUCAGCUAUGUGGUGUCCAUAAAUUAUGCAGUUCAAACACUACCGAGUAAACAGUGGUGACUUCGACCAAUUAACAAGGUUUUAUUCCUUUAGGCUACAUGUAUCUGUUGUAUAGGAAAUUAUCUUUCAAAGGGGUUUAUGAAAAAGCUGAUAUGCUACAGUAGUUACACAUGUAUUCAUGUGAGGUGAGAAAGAAACAUCUUACUAAUGGUAGUAAAAUACCUUUCUAGAAUUCUGUAAUGCCUGUGUGGAAUUCAUAGCACAUACACAAUUCACGAUUAUAUCCUGUGAAUAAUUACAAAGCUUUGCAGAUUUUGGUAACCUAUUAGAGAAACCUCUUUACAUUACUUCUGCAUGCAAUUGUGUUCUCGUUCUUGUAAUGUGAUACCAUGAAAUACAUAAAUACAGACAUGAUAUUUGGAUUUCA